RNAcentral lists this long non-coding RNA (321 nucleotides) under Eutrema salsugineum. Its description in RNAcentral is "long non-coding RNA (ESAL_LNC002062)". The record is from RNAcentral. Lineage: Eukaryota; Viridiplantae; Streptophyta; Magnoliopsida; Brassicales; Brassicaceae.
CUCGUUGACCCGUUUACUCCGAGAACGCACGCGACGGUGGUGCCGUGGAACCUGAGCAGCUCGUUUCCGUCGGCGAUACAUCUCGGGUGUUUCUUCUGUAGCUUGCUCGCUCUGCUCUUCACCGUGUCUCUGUAUUCCUCGAAUCUGGCUAGUGUUUUAUGCAUGUUGUGCACUUUCAGUAUCCGAUCGAUUCUCUCGCCUUGAUUCUCUGACUUUGACCAGCUUGUUCUGCAGAUUAUCUCCACGAUUUUCCGGGACGAAUCGCCAUCCACGAGCUCAGUCACUGAAAAUUCGGGUAAAUUCAAAUACUUUGAUAAAGAC